CUUUACUGUAGCUUUGCAUUGGACUUUGAACCGGUCUGUGUAGGAUAGGUGGGAGGCUUUGAAGUGAGGACGCUAGUUCUCAUGGAGCCGUCCUUGAAAUACCACCCUGAUUUGUUUGAGGUUCUAACCAUGGCCUGUGAAUCCAGGUCUGGGACCGUGCAUGGUAGGCAGUUUGACUGGGGCGGUCUCCUCCCAAAGUGUAACGGAGGAGUACGAAGGUACGCUAGGUACGGUCGGACAUCGUGCUAAUAGUGCAAUGGCAAAAGCGUGCUUGACUGCGAGUCCCACAAGACGAGCAGGUACGAAAGUAGGUCAUAGUGAUCCGGUGGUUCUGUAUGGAAGGGCCAUCGCUCAACGGAUAAAAGGUA
Molecule: ribosomal RNA, 368 nt
Filed under: uncultured organism
Description: bacterial LSU rRNA
Rfam family: Bacterial large subunit ribosomal RNA
Source: RNAcentral